This 462-nucleotide ribosomal RNA is filed under the name uncultured bacterium. RNAcentral's name for it is "partial 16S ribosomal RNA". It matches the Rfam family "Bacterial small subunit ribosomal RNA", at positions 28 to 507 of the family's 1533-position model. The record is from RNAcentral.
GAUGAACGCUGACAGAAUGCUUAACACAUGCAAGUCUUUGGCGAAGCUGUGCUUGCACAGCCUAGCCAAGGCGGACGGGUGAGUAACGCGUAAGGAACUUGCCCUGCAGUCAGGGAUAACAGACGGAAACGACUGAUAAGACCUGGUAAAGUCAGGCGGACUCAUGUCCAGCCUGAUGAAAAGAGAUGCUGCAGGAGAGCCUUGCGUCCUAUUAGCUUGUUGGUGGGGUAACGGCCCACCAAGGCGAUGAUAGGUAGCCGGCCUGAGAGGGUGGACGGCCACAAGGGGACUGAGAUACGGCCCUUACUCCUACGGGAGGCAGCAGUGGGGAAUAUUGGACAAUGGGGGCAACCCUGACCCAGCAAUUCUGUGUGCACGAUGAAGGUUUUCGGAUUGUAAAGUGCUUUCAGCAGGGAAGAAAAAAUGACGGUACCUGCAGAAGAAGCGACGGCUAAAUACGUG